This 592-nucleotide ribosomal RNA is filed under the name Schaalia georgiae. Its description in RNAcentral is "Actinomyces georgiae partial 23S ribosomal RNA". It matches the Rfam family "Bacterial large subunit ribosomal RNA", at positions 1335 to 1935 of the family's 2925-position model. The record is from RNAcentral. Lineage: Bacteria; Bacillati; Actinomycetota; Actinomycetes; Actinomycetales; Actinomycetaceae.
CGCCGAUUGACUAAGGGUUCCAGGGCCAGGUUCGUCCGCCCUGGGUUAGUCGGGACCUAAGGAGAGACCGAAAGGUGUAUCCGAUGGCCAACAGGUAGAGAUUCCUGUACUAGAGUAUAGAGUGAAGGAGGGACGCAGUAGGCUAACUCAAGCGUGCGAAUGGAAGAGCACGUCUAAGCAGUGAGGUGUGAUAGGAGUCAAAUGCUUCUAUCUGUAACAUUGAGCUGUGAUGGGGAGCGAAGUUUAGUAGCGAAGUGAGUGACGUCACACUGCCAAGAAAAGCUUCUAGCGUUAAUUUAUACUCUACCCGUACCGCAAACCGACACAGGUAGUCGAGGCGAGUAGCCUCAGGUGAUCGAGAGAACUCUCGUUAAGGAACUCGGCAAAAUGACCCCGUAACUUCGGGAGAAGGGGUGCUCAGUGUAACUGAGCCGCAGUGAAUAGGCCCAAGCAACUGUUUAUCAAAAACACAGCUCUCUGCUAAAUCGUAAGAUGAUGUAUAGGGGGUGACGCCUGCCCGGUGCUGGAAGGUUAAGAGGAGUGAUUAGACGUAAGUCGAAGGUAUGAAUUGAAGCCCCAGUAAACGGCGGCC